RNAcentral lists this non-coding RNA (85 nucleotides) under Hassallia byssoidea. The record is from RNAcentral. Lineage: Bacteria; Bacillati; Cyanobacteriota; Cyanophyceae; Nostocales; Tolypothrichaceae.
GCUUAAAGUUAGGAAACUCCGGUGCAAUUCCGGGACUGUGCCGCAGCUGUAAAAGGUUUACUUGAGUCAGAAUGCUAACUUAAGC